This 373-nucleotide ribosomal RNA is filed under the name uncultured bacterium. RNAcentral describes it as "bacterial SSU rRNA". It matches the Rfam family "Bacterial small subunit ribosomal RNA", at positions 527 to 898 of the family's 1533-position model. The record is from RNAcentral.
AGAGGGGGCAAGCGUUGUUCGGAAUUACUGGGCGUAAAGGGCGCGUAGGCGGCCUUCUAAGUCGAACGUGAAAUCCCCGGGCUCAACCCGGGAACUGCGUCCGAUACUGGUAGGCUCGAAUCCGGGAGAGGGAUGUGGAAUUCCAGGUGUAGCGGUGAAAUGCGUAGAUAUCUGGAGGAACACCGGUGGCGAAGGCGACAUCCUGGACCGGUAUUGACGCUGAGGCGCGAAAGCCAGGGGAGCAAACGGGAUUAGAUACCCCGGUAGUCCUGGCCCUAAACGAUGAAUGCUUGGUGUGGUGGGUAUCGAUCCCUACCGUGCCGAAGCUAACGCAUUAAGCAUUCCGCCUGGGGAGUACGGUCGCAAGGCUGAA